GGGCGCGUGGCGGAAUGGUAGACGCGGUGGGUUCAGGACUCACUGGGAAAAAUUCCCGUGGAGGUUCAAGUCCUCUCGCGCCCA
RNAcentral lists this transfer RNA (84 nucleotides) under Pseudomonadota bacterium. Its description in RNAcentral is "tRNA-Leu". It matches the Rfam family "tRNA". From Rfam's summary of the family: Transfer RNA (tRNA) molecules are approximately 80 nucleotides in length. Lineage: Bacteria; Pseudomonadati; Pseudomonadota. The record is from RNAcentral. RNAcentral also lists the same sequence under 1 other name.